Molecule: ribosomal RNA, 305 nt
Filed under: uncultured bacterium
Lineage: Bacteria
Description: bacterial SSU rRNA
Rfam family: Bacterial small subunit ribosomal RNA
Source: RNAcentral
CCUACGGGGCGCAGCAGUAGGGAAUCUUCCACAAUGGACGAAAGUCUGAUGGAGCAACGCCGCGUGAGUGAAGAAGGGUUUCGGGUUGUAAACUUCUUUUAAGGGGGAAGAGCAGAAGACGGUACCCCUUGAAUAAGCCACGGCUAACUACGUGCCAGCAGCCGCGGUAAUACGUAGGUGGCAAGCGUUGUCCGGAUUUACUGGGUGUAAAGGGCGUGCAGCCGGAGAGACAAGUCAGAUGUGAAAUCCACGGUCUCAACCCGUGAACUGCAUUUGAAACUGUUUCCCUUGAGUGUCGGAGAGGG